RNAcentral lists this ribosomal RNA (485 nucleotides) under Vibrio parahaemolyticus. RNAcentral's name for it is "bacterial SSU rRNA". It matches the Rfam family "Bacterial small subunit ribosomal RNA", at positions 1 to 469 of the family's 1533-position model. Lineage: Bacteria; Pseudomonadati; Pseudomonadota; Gammaproteobacteria; Vibrionales; Vibrionaceae. The record is from RNAcentral.
AAAUUGAAGAGUUUGAUCAUGGCUCAGAUUGAACGCUGGCGGCAGGCCUAACACAUGCAAGUCGAGCGGAAACGAGUUGUCUGAACCUUCGGGGAACGAUAACGGCGUCGAGCGGCGGACGGGUGAGUAAUGCCUAGGAAAUUGCCCUGAUGUGGGGGAUAACCAUUGGAAACGAUGGCUAAUACCGCAUGAUGCCUACGGGCCAAAGAGGGGGACCUUCGGGCCUCUCGCGUCAGGAUAUGCCUAGGUGGGAUUAGCUAGUUGGUGAGGUAAGGGCUCACCAAGGCGACGAUCCCUAGCUGGUCUGAGAGGAUGAUCAGCCACACUGGAACUGAGACACGGUCCAGACUCCUACGGGAGGCAGCAGUGGGGAAUAUUGCACAAUGGGCGCAAGCCUGAUGCAGCCAUGCCGCGUGUGUGAAGAAGGCCUUCGGGUUGUAAAGCACUUUCAGUCGUGAGGAAGGUGGUAGUGUUAAUAGCACUAU